AUACGGAGGGUGCAAGCGUUAUCCGGAUUCACUGGGUUUAAAGGGUGCGUAGGUGGGCUAGUAAGUCCGUGGUGAAAUCUCUGAGCUUAACUCGGAAACUGCCGUGGAUACUAUUAGUCUUGAAUCUCGUGGAGGUAAGCGGAAUAUGUCAUGUAGCGGUGAAAUGCUUAGAUAUGACAUAGAACACCGAUAGCGAAGGCAGCUUGCUACACGAGUAUUGACACUGAGGCACGAAAGCGUGGGGAUCAAACAGGA
Molecule: ribosomal RNA, 255 nt
Filed under: uncultured prokaryote
Description: partial 16S ribosomal RNA
Rfam family: Bacterial small subunit ribosomal RNA
Source: RNAcentral